Molecule: ribosomal RNA, 414 nt
Filed under: uncultured bacterium
Lineage: Bacteria
Description: bacterial SSU rRNA
Rfam family: Bacterial small subunit ribosomal RNA
Source: RNAcentral
AGAGUUUGAUCCUGGCUCAGAUUGAACGCUGGCGGCAUGCCUAACACAUGCAAGUCGAACGGCAGCACAGUCGUAGCAAUACGAUGGGUGGCGAGUGGCGGACGGGUGAGUAAUGCAUCGGGAUCUACCCUGACGUGGGGGAUAACCUCGGGAAACCGGGACUAAUACCACAUACGUCCUACGGGAGAAAGCGGGGGACCUUCGGGCCUCGCGCGGCAGGACGAACCGAUGUGCGAUUAGCUAGUUGGCGGGGUAAUGGCCCACCAAGGCGACGAUCGCUAGCUGGUCUGAGAGGAUGAUCAGCCACACUGGGACUGAGACACGGCCCAGACUCCUACGGGAGGCAGCAGUGGGGAAUAUUGGACAAUGGGCGCAAGCCUGAUCCAGCAAUGCCGCGUGUGUGAAGAAGGCCUU